Cryptomeria japonica (Japanese cedar) is the source of this 309-nucleotide long non-coding RNA. RefSeq lists it as uncharacterized. The transcript is spliced from 3 exons. The record is from RefSeq and is a predicted model, not a curated record. NCBI's taxonomy places the organism in Eukaryota, Viridiplantae, Streptophyta, Pinopsida, Cupressales, Cupressaceae.
CGAUUUGAGAAUGUUGGAAACCUACAACGGUAUUGAGAGAAUGUUCGAAACUAGCCUACAACGGUAAAGAAAAUUCAAAAUGGCAUGGAGCGGGGAAAAGCAUUUGAAGUGAACAUCAUAACCCUUGGCACAUCGAAGAUGAAGAGGCAAAGCAGAAGAUCAGGAAAAAUAGCAAUUGGAUGAGGGCAAAAUUCUUCUUCACCAUUCAUGGCACUCACAUUGGAUUCAUGGGUUGGGUCCAUUUCUCUUGCUGGUAUUAGCACUUCGCAUAGGCCAUUAACAACAGAGGAUUACUGAGCUGCAUCAUCA